AAAUAAGAAACAAAUUAUUGUAAUUAGUUUCGACCUAAUAUUUUGAUGUUACUUCAUCCUUAUUUG
RNAcentral lists this transfer RNA (66 nucleotides) under Sinelater perroti. RNAcentral describes it as "tRNA-Arg". The record is from RNAcentral. Lineage: Eukaryota; Metazoa; Arthropoda; Insecta; Coleoptera; Elateridae.